This 955-nucleotide ribosomal RNA is filed under the name Salmonella enterica. Its description in RNAcentral is "partial 23S ribosomal RNA". It matches the Rfam family "Bacterial large subunit ribosomal RNA", at positions 1 to 888 of the family's 2925-position model. The record is from RNAcentral. Lineage: Bacteria; Pseudomonadati; Pseudomonadota; Gammaproteobacteria; Enterobacterales; Enterobacteriaceae. RNAcentral also lists the same sequence under 1 other name.
GGGUUGUGAGGUUAAGCGACUAAGCGUACACGGUGGAUGCCCUGGCAGUCAGAGGCGAUGAAGGACGUGCUAAUCUGCGAUAAGCGCCGGUAAGGUGAUAUGAACCGUUAUAACCGGCGAUUUCCGAAUGGGGAAACCCAGUGUGACUCGUCACACUAUCAUUAACUGAAUCCAUAGGUUAAUGAGGCGAACCGGGGGAACUGAAACAUCUAAGUACCCCGAGGAAAAGAAAUCAACCGAGAUUCCCCCAGUAGCGGCGAGCGAACGGGGAGGAGCCCAGAGCCUGAAUCAGCAUGUGUGUUAGUGGAAGCGUCUGGAAAGGCGCGCGAUACAGGGUGACAGCCCCGUACACAAAAGCGCAUGUGUUGUGAGCUCGAUGAGUAGGGCGGGACACGUGGUAUCCUGUCUGAAUAUGGGGGGACCAUCCUCCAAGGCUAAAUACUCCUGACUGACCGAUAGUGAACCAGUACCGUGAGGGAAAGGCGAAAAGAACCCCGGCGAGGGGAGUGAAAAAGAACCUGAAACCGUGUACGUACAAGCAGUGGGAGCCCCACCACUAAGCCAGUGGUGAACUCCACAUACGCAUCCUUUGCUGAAGGUGCGGUUAACGGAGCGCAAGCGACGUUCAACCUCAAAAGAAGCAGAGGGGGCUUAGUGGUGGGGUGACUGCGUACCUUUUGUAUAAUGGGUCAGCGACUUAUAUUCUGUAGCAAGGUUAACCGCAUAGGGGAGCCGGAGGGAAACCGAGUCUUAAUUGGGCGUUAAGUUGCAGGGUAUAGACCCGAAACCCGGUGAUCUAGCCAUGGGCAGGUUGAAGGUUGGGUAACACUAACUGGAGGACCGAACCGACUAAUGUUGAAAAAUUAGCGGAUGACCUGUGGCUGGGGGUGAAAGGCCAAUCAAACCGGGAGAUAGCUGGUUCUCCCCGAAAGCUAUUUAGGUAGCGCCUCGUGAA